Pelobates cultripes (western spadefoot toad) is the source of this 217-nucleotide non-coding RNA. The record is from the annotation of a GenBank genome assembly. Lineage: Eukaryota; Metazoa; Chordata; Amphibia; Anura; Pelobatidae.
CAUGAUCCAGGCCUUCCUUAGCCGUAAUUGGGAAGCAGAGGCUAGAGCAGAAAGAAUAUCUGCAAACUGCAUUUCAAAACCUGUUUGAUGCAGACUCUGCUGGAAUCAAUAGUAAAAGUAAUUAUUUAAAAUUGCAAUACCAACCAACAGCCUUACCUGCUAUAGGCUUUCCUUAGCCGUAUUUGGGAAACAGAGGCUAGAGCAGACAGAAUAGCUG